Molecule: microRNA, 19 nt
Filed under: Glycine max (soybean)
Lineage: Eukaryota; Viridiplantae; Streptophyta; Magnoliopsida; Fabales; Fabaceae
Description: gma-miR5369
Source: miRBase by way of RNAcentral
UGAGAAAAGGAGGAUGUCA